Manis pentadactyla (Chinese pangolin) is the source of this 2753-nucleotide long non-coding RNA. RefSeq lists it as uncharacterized. The record is from RefSeq and is a predicted model, not a curated record. NCBI's taxonomy places the organism in Eukaryota, Metazoa, Chordata, Mammalia, Pholidota, Manidae. The transcript has 6 exons.
UUGGCAGCUUGAAGUCAGCUGUGGUGGAAGUAUUUAUAUCUUUUUUUCUUCUGGGGAGCCAGUUGUUAAGGAUUUAUCAGUGUAUCACUGGGUUGAUGUAUGUUUAACUUUUUAAGAAACUAUCAGUUUUUCAAAGUGGCUGUAACAUAUAUUAUUUCCAUCAGUGUUGUAUGAGAGUUCCAAUUGCUCUACAUCUUCUCCAACACCUGGCUGUUGUCAGUUUUUAAUUAUAGCCAUUCUGGUAAGUAUUAGGUGGUAUCUCAUGGUAGUUUUAAUUUGUGUUUUUUUGGUGACUGAUGUUGUUUGAGGGCUUUCAGAUGUACUUAUUGUGGUCAUUUGCAUAUCUUUCACAUAGUGUUUAGUCUUUGGCCAUUUCUUAAAAAUGAGGUUGGUUGUCUUUUUAUUAUUGAGUGGCAGGAGUUCUUUAUAUAUUCUGCAUAUAAGCCCUUUGUCAGGUAUGUUUUUCUGUGAACAUUUUCUCCUAGUCUGUGGUUUGCCUCUUUCUUGAUGGCAUAAUGUUUUGUGAACACACAUCUGAAAUUUUGAUGUCAUACAGUUUGUCCAUGUUUUAUUUACGAUUCUUAUUUUCUGUGUCCUAAGUAAUCCUGUUGUGUUUCUUCUACCUGGACUGGCCUUCCCUGAUGCCUCUGUCUGAAGACCUACCAUUCUUCUUGGCCUAACAUAAAGGUCAGCUCUUUCUGAAGCUUCGAGCAGCAGUAUUCUCAACUCUGUACCUCCACUUAGGUCAUACCUCUCUGAUCACCCUAUGAUAUAGUUGUCUCCUUAUGGGUCUUUCCCAAAUGUGAUUGGGAGCUCAAAUUGUGGAUGCUACCCCCAGAAUCUGAAUUUUGAUCAAUGAGCAGUUUUCUAAAUGUUUGCUUUUGCAUCUCUCAAAUGGUUGCUAAAGUGGUCUGUGAUCAAGUCUUCCAUAGCCUAUCGGUAAAUAGGCAACUAAGGGAAUGGGUUCCGGCCAGAUUGGCAGUCCGCCCCAUACAGACUCAGAGGUGGAGAACCAACGUGAUGGAGAGCGCCCCCCCCUCCCCACAUCCUUGUGGCAGUUCCCGUCUGAAUCUAGCGGCAAGAGUAGCGCCGCCCUGAGCAAGCCUCUUCUGAGUCCAGUUUCCCCCGUGAAAAGCUGGGAGUACCAAUACCUGCUCCCCUAACUCCUCUGCGUCUUCUCAAGAAUGUGUGGAUAGAGUGAGCACCCGGUACUGUGGAAACUGCUCACAGCUGUAUAGACGCACCGGGUGCAAGCCAAGAGGGACUCCCUUCAGCCUUCUUGCCUGCCUUCGUUCACGCGUUCAUUUAUUCAUCCCACCUUAUUCAGCACCUAGUGAGCCUCACGGAGUUGAGAAAGCCCUCUGAGCCUCUGUAUCCAGACGUCCAAGGGUUAAGCAGGCGGCGCGGGCCCCUGCGUCCCCGCCCCGGCCACCCCGGCGUGGGGAAGGCGGGAAGGCGGCAGCGGGUGCCAAAGUCAGAACCUGCUGGUCGGCAGCUCCCGGCGCUGCCUUGACUCGGGGCCAGGCCUGGCGCGGCCGCCGGCUGUGGAAUGUGUUAGCGCCAUGUGUCACCGCCCCAGACUGUGGGAAAACGCUGCUCCGCUCACCUCCCAGCAGCUGCCCCGCGCCCGCCCGGGCUGAGCCGGGAAAUGGGAGCUGCCUGCCGCCAAGGCCCCCGGGGCAUUUCGAGCCUCUGCGGGGCCCACACCCACCGGCGCCCCGUCUGCUCCUGGGACCAGCGAGGGAUGGGGCAGCCCCAUGGGGCCUCUCCUGCCCUUCAGAUUCCGGCGGAACGAUCUAGUCUCUUUCUGUUUAAUUAGUGUUCUGCCAGGGGCUGUGGAGACAGAGCCAAGACUGGACACCGAGAAGCAAAUGUCUGGGUGAGUGCAAGAACGACUUUCCCUGGCUGGUGAAUUUCCUUGAUGGUGAACUCUCUCAGGCUCCCUUGUCCUGCUGCUCCCUCUGGGAAGCCUCUCCUAACUGCCUUGAGAGGUUCUGAGAAAUGGUCAAGGACUUGGCCCUGCAGCCACAGAUGAAAUCACCUGUGGAUCCCAAAAGUUUUCAACAAUGAAGGCAGAAGAGGCCUUGGGAAGGCAGAGUGCUGCUUCCAUGAACCUAGUGGGCCACAGAUGGACUGCCAGGGCUCUAUAAACUCUCUAAAUUGUAAGGAAAAGCCAAUGGUCUUUCUCGAACAUUCAGGAAUAGGAGUCCUUGUUCUCUCCAUGCUGAGCCCUUGAUAUUCCUGAGGUGGACUGAGAUGUUCCACCUUUAAAAUCGAAUAGUAGUGGCCUUUCCCCCAAUUCAGGUUGCUAAUAGCCUGGCAAGUCCACGGAGAGCCUGGAGCUCUCAAGAUCGGCUCUUAUGUACAGACACUGAGACAGAGAGGCCAGGGGCUGUUUGCCAUCUCCUUCCUCACACUCUCUGGAAAUGCUUGUGAGCAGCGAACAACAUUUUAUGAUGUACUUUGCUGCAUUAACAAUUGAACAGAAUAAUUCUGUUACCUCUCAUAAACUAGAAAUAGUAGACAAUCUAGAUAAAAAGAAAGACAAUAAAAAUCAUUUAUAAAUUCAUCAUCUACAGAUGACAAUCUGGUGUUGUCCAUGCAGACUUUUUUCCUCAGUGUAUUUCAUAUUUCUGUGGCUAGGGGAGAUACAUACACACAUCUGUACAUGCAUAUAUGCAUUUUGUCCUCUGCCUUUUUUACCCAGUUAUUUUCUCAAUGAGCACAAUUAUAAAGUAAAUCCAAUUAUUCAA